CCUACGGGAGGCUGCAGUGAGGAAUAUUGGUCAAUGGGCGGGAGCCUGAACCAGCCAAGUCGCGUGAGGGAAGACGGUCCUAUGGAUUGUAAACCUCUUUAGGCGGGGAGAAAUGCCGGGCACGCGUGCCCGGAGGGAGAGUACCCGCAGUAUAAGCAUCGGCAAACUCCGGGCCAGCAGCCGCGGUAAUACGGAGGAUGGGAGCGUUAUCCGGAUUUAUUGGGGUAAAAGGGUGCGAAGGCGGGUGUUUACGUCAGCGGUAAACUGUCCGGGCUCAACCCGGGCCGGCCGUUGAUACUGGGGAUCUUGAGUGGGCGAGAGGUAUGCGGAAUGCGUGGUGUAGCGGUGAAAUGCAUAGAUAUCAGGUAGAACUCCGAUUGCGAAGGCAGCAUACCGGCGCCCGACUGACGCUGAGGCACGAAAGCGUGGGGAUCGAACAGGAUUAGAUACCCUUGUAGUC
Molecule: ribosomal RNA, 460 nt
Filed under: uncultured bacterium
Lineage: Bacteria
Description: partial 16S ribosomal RNA
Rfam family: Bacterial small subunit ribosomal RNA
Source: RNAcentral